AUACGUAGGUGGCAAGCGUUGUCCGGAAUUACUGGGUGUAAAGGGCGUGUAGGCGGAGAUGCAAGUCAGGAGUGAAAUCUAGGGGCUCAACCCCUAAACUGCUUUUGAAACUGUAUCCCUUGAGUAUCGGAGAGGCAGGCGGAAUUCCUAGUGUAGCGGUGAAAUGCGUAGAUAUUAGGAGGAACACCAGUGGCGAAGGCGGCCUGCUGGACGACAACUGACGCUGAGGCGCGAAAGCGUGGGGAGCAAACAGGAUUAGAUACCCUGGUAGUCCACGCUGUAAACGAUGAAUACUAGAUGUGGGGGGACUGACCCCCUCCGUGCCGCAGUUAACACAAUAAGUAUUCCACCUGGGGAGUACGAUCGCAAGAUUGAAACUCAAAGGAAUUGACGGGG
RNAcentral lists this ribosomal RNA (396 nucleotides) under uncultured bacterium. RNAcentral describes it as "partial 16S ribosomal RNA". It matches the Rfam family "Bacterial small subunit ribosomal RNA", at positions 523 to 918 of the family's 1533-position model. The record is from RNAcentral.